CCUUUAUCCAGAGCGGCGUAGGGAUCUGGCCUGAAGAUCGCCGCAGCAACCGGCCCUCAUCGCGGCACCCGGUGCUCCGCCAGCCCGCACGCGCCAACGAUGGCUUUACAUAGGCGGCGGGAACGAUAAGGG
Molecule: non-coding RNA, 132 nt
Filed under: Deinococcus hopiensis
Lineage: Bacteria; Thermotogati; Deinococcota; Deinococci; Deinococcales; Deinococcaceae
Also listed under: 1 other name
Description: SAM-I sequence
Rfam family: SAM riboswitch aptamer (S box leader)
About the family: The SAM riboswitch is found upstream of a number of genes which code for proteins involved in methionine or cysteine biosynthesis in Gram-positive bacteria.
Source: RNAcentral